UCCUUCAGCAGGCCGUGCUUGCUCGUGGGGCCUCUCUGGAGACUUCCCGAACCCUGUGGAUUUACAGUAAAAUGCAGUUUCCUGGGGAG
This 89-nucleotide long non-coding RNA is filed under the name Mus spicilegus (steppe mouse). Its description in RNAcentral is "Pvt1 onco conserved region 3 (ENSMSIG00000013601.1)". It matches the Rfam family "Pvt1 oncogene conserved region 3". The record is from RNAcentral. Lineage: Eukaryota; Metazoa; Chordata; Mammalia; Rodentia; Muridae.